AUCCAGCUGACGAGUCCCAAAUAAGACGAAGCGCGCGUCCUGGAU
This is a non-coding RNA of Schistosoma mansoni, 45 nucleotides long. The record is from Rfam. NCBI's taxonomy places the organism in Eukaryota, Metazoa, Platyhelminthes, Trematoda, Strigeidida, Schistosomatidae.